UGCUGGUGUUCAUAGAUCAUGGAGAUUCUUGGCCAAUAGGGUACUUACCUAAGCAUAAUCUCUCAAAUUUACAGGAAGAGAAGGAAAACACGUCAAAACUGUCGUAACUACAGCAGUUUUCUGCUUUUGAAUUUUUCUCCCUGUUCAGAUACCUUUCUGGCAUAUGUAGCUGAAAAGAAAAAUCACAGCUCCCCAAAUAUUAUGCAAUUUGUAUUUCUAGAACUGAUAAAGCCUUUUCAGAACCUUGUACCCAGUGGAUUUUUCCCUAAAUGAAAAGUUUCGACAGAACAAAUAGGUAAAAUGUGUUAAGACUCUAACUGUCAGUUGACAGCUUUUGAAAACUCAGAGGUUUUAAAAAACAAAGUACGGAGGGGUGGGGGGGGUUAGUAAUCAGAUCCCCCCCCAAUGAGCACUAAUCUAGGAAAGACACCAAAAUGUUUGUCUUUUUUCUUAAAUAACAUCAGACUUCAGUUCUGUGGAAAAACAAGUGCAAGUUGAAUAGAGAUCCAGGCGCAUGUAUCAGAAACACUGGCUGCAUCGAAGCCUGGUAUCAUGUUAUUGUGUCAGCAACGCUUAAGUGUGGCUUUAAAGGUCAGAAGGAAAUCUCGCUAUUUGUUAAUGCGGGGUUUUUUAAACUCGACAUGUUGUUGUGAAAGUAAAGUGCUUUGCUGGAAAACAAGCAGGUAUGAACAAGAGACAAUUUAGGUGCAAUUCAGCUCCGAAAGAUGCAAUUUCAUUUUCUGUUCAGGUAGUAAAGUCACGUAUUAGGAAUCUUCAUGAAGAAAAAGUAGAGUUUUUAAGAGUUAUGUCUUCUAACCUUUGCCUUUACUAAAUUUGUUUUGCGUUGCACAGUAAAUUAAGUGUACUAGGAUAACAAAGAGAGCCCUCACUUUGUAGUUUUGUGUGUAUGUUUUUUCUGCUCAAGCAGGAAAUAGAUUUGUGGCUAGAGUUUUACUGCAUUUAGUAGGCACGUUCUGACCAAGCUUUUUGAAAAUGUCUUCUGAAAGAUAUUGCAAUUACAACAAUGAAGAAUUCAGAGGGCUGCAACUCAUCUGUCUGUGCCUGCUUUGGAAUGCUUUAUCUUUAAAUCUUAUUUUUUUUCCUGCUGUUCCUCAAUAUUUAUUUUUUUGAAAAACAUGAUUUUUUUUUUUUCAUAUCUCAGUGGCCAUGAAAGCUCUCUAUAUUUACUGCAAGUAAAUAUAGUCAAUAUUUAUUUGUACAGUCAGUACUAAGUCAAAUCUUAAUUUGAUUUUUUGGCUUCUGCUUUUUCCUUCUGAAGGCUACUUUGCUAAAGAAUAAUAAAAUCCUUAUAGAAAGAUUUGACACAAAAUACCAUAGAGAAAGACAUUGAACUUAAUCUCAUGAUUCCAGUUAAAUGAUCAAUACAAUAGGUAUUAAAUACCUCUGCAACAUGUAGAGGUCAGUGUUCAAUAACUGUGGGUGCCUUCUGCAUCACCCUAGGACAGUGAUUUUCACAGAAGCAGUCUACCUUUAGGUCUGAGGGACAGACCACACAAGGGGGCAGGAGCCUAGAAGGGAAAUUACUUACUUCCCAAAUCCUCCACUCGGACAAAUGGUCAGAUAAGCAUGAGGACCUGAAACUGCAGCAGCUAUGGAAAGCAUUAUAAAAAACAAAUAGAUAAGGCCUUCCUUAGGGAAAUAGAUCAUGGCAAUGGGAUUUGACUGAGAUGCUGCUUCUCUGUGAUACUGCUCUAAAAGCAUUAGAGAGGUGGCCAGUAAUUUUAACCUACUGGUUCCAGCCAAGUUUAGUUCCAGAGAGACUGAAAAUCGCUGCUGCGCAUGGGUAUUUUGCGGCUGUGGACUGGUUCUUGAUAAACAGUAGCUUCAAAACACAGCCUGGUCUUUGGUGGGCAGACUUGGCAGGAAAACUCUGUGAAAGGCUGAUACUAAUACAGCCAGUGGCUUUAUUUCCUCUGUUGCUCAAGAACAGGAUAAAAAUAAGAACUGCAAAUUGUGCAGUAUGGUUUAGGAUCACUCUGGAUCUUUGUAUUUCACGUGUGUUUCUGUCGAACAGUCAUUUGGCUGUCUGACCUUGGGGGAGCCUCAAUCUGCCAAAUCCCAGUCUGCAAUGAACCUUUCAAAGCAUGCAGUAACAGCCAGAAUUAGAAUCGGCAGAGAACAGGACAGAUGAAAACAACAACUUGAAAUACAACUAAGUGAGACUUCAACAUUCUAGUCUACUUUUCUGCCCUGAAGCAGAGUAAAUGAGGUAUAUUUAGUCCUGAUGGAUAUUUGUCUAAUUUUGCAAACCUCUGAUAAAAGUCAUGCUGUUAAACUAUGUAACCUGCUCAAAGCUUACCUAUUCUGACAGUCACAGCUUUUCCUAAUAAAAGUAACCUUUCUUU
Long non-coding RNA from Strigops habroptila (Kakapo), 2366 nucleotides. The record is from Ensembl. NCBI's taxonomy places the organism in Eukaryota, Metazoa, Chordata, Aves, Psittaciformes, Psittacidae.